GCAGCAAGAAGUAAAAGUUAUAAACACAAAACAGGAAAAUCAAGAUCAUUCAAUUAGAUAAAGAACAGAUGACCGAAACUUUAAUGAGGUUGUGCAAGAAAGGUGGGGUUCUCCGAGUGGGUUGACUGCAUCUAAUGCAGCUGUUCCUGCUCGAGCACAUCUACGUGCAAUAAAAAUAGACAAAAAGGUAUAACUGAAGUAAAUUUGCCAGAUUCUGAUAGGCACGGUCGAAGGGCUCCUACAAGGGACUACUUAAAGGAUGUUUCUGUUUGCCACCAUGAAAUGAGAAAACCUAAAGUUCAAGAUUCUGUCUUGGGAAAGCGAAAGAGCCACCAACACAUG
This 342-nucleotide small RNA is filed under the name Vigna angularis var. angularis. RNAcentral's name for it is "Non-protein coding transcript". The record is from RNAcentral. Lineage: Eukaryota; Viridiplantae; Streptophyta; Magnoliopsida; Fabales; Fabaceae.